AUUGAACGCUGGCGGCAUGCCUUACACAUGCAAGUCGAACGGCAGCGGGGGAGAAGCUUGCUUUUCCUGCCGGCGAGUGGCGAACGGGUGAGUAAUACAUCGGAACGUGCCCUGUAGUGGGGGAUAACUAGUCGAAAGAUUAGCUAAUACCGCAUACGACCUGAGGGUGAAAGUGGGGGACCGCAAGGCCUCAUGCUAUAGGAGCGGCCGAUGUCUGAUUAGCUAGUUGGUGGGGUAAAGGCCUACCAAGGCGACGAUCAGUAGCUGGUCUGAGAGGACGAUAAGCCACACUGGGACGGAGACACGGCCCAGACUCCUACGGGAGGCAGCAGUGGGGAAUUUUGGACAAUGGGCGAAAGCCUGAUCCAGCAAUGCCGCGUGUGUGAAGAAGGCCUUCGGGUUGUAAAGCACUUUUGUCCGGAAAGAAAUGGCUCUGGUUAAUACCUGGGGUCGAUGACGGUACCGGAAGAAUAAGGACCGGCUAACUACGUGCCAGCCGCCGCAGUAA
RNAcentral lists this ribosomal RNA (508 nucleotides) under uncultured bacterium. RNAcentral's name for it is "partial 16S ribosomal RNA". It matches the Rfam family "Bacterial small subunit ribosomal RNA", at positions 30 to 523 of the family's 1533-position model. The record is from RNAcentral.